UUUGAUCCUGGCUCAGGACGAACGCUGGCGGCGUGCUUUACACAUGCAAGUCGAACGAUGAUGGGGUGCUUGCAUCCCUGAUUAGUGGCGAACGGGUGAGUAACACGUGAGUAACCUGCCCCAGACUCUGGGAUAACUCCGGGAAACCGGGGCUAAUACUGGAUAUCAUUUCUGCCUGCAUGGGUGGUUGUUGAAAGGGUUUCUGGUCUGGGAUGGGCUCGCGGCCUAUCAGCUUGUUGGUGGGGUGAUGGCCUACCAAGGCGAUGACGGGUAGCCGGCCUGAGAGGGUGACCGGCCACACUGGGACUGAGACACGGCCCAGACUCCUACGGGAGGCAGCAGUGGGGAAUAUUGCACAAUGGGCGCAAGCCUGAUGCAGCGACGCCGCGUGAGGGAUGACGGCCUUCGGGUUGUAAACCUCUUUCAGUAGGGAAGAAGCUUUCGGGUGACGGUACCUGCAGAAGAAGCGCCGGCUAACUACGUGCCAGCAGCCGCGGUAAUACGUAGGGCGCAAGCGUUGUCCGGAAUUAUUGGGCGUAAAGAGCUCGUAGGCGGUUUGUCGCGUCUGCUGUGAAAUCCCCAGGCUCAACUUGGGGCGUGCAGUGGGUACGGGCAGACUAGAGUGCGGUAGGGGAGACUGGAAUUCCUGGUGUAGCGGUGGAAUGCGCAGAUAUCAGGAGGAACACCGAUGGCGAAGGCAGGUCUCUGGGCCGUUACUGACGCUGAGGAGCGAAAGCAUGGGGAGCGAACAGGAUUAGAUACCCUGGUAGUCCAUGCCGUAAACGUUGGGCACUAGGUGUGGGGUCUGUUUCCACGGAUUCCGCGCCGUAGCUAACGCAUUAAGUGCCCCGCCUGGGGAGUACGGCCGCAAGGCUAAAACUCAAAGGAAUUGACGGGGGCCCGCACAAGCGGCGGAGCAUGCGGAUUAAUUCGAUGCAACGCGAAGAACCUUACCAAGGCUUGACAUACUUGAGAAGCCACCAGAGAUGGUGGUCUCUUUGGACACUCAUGUACAGGUGGUGCAUGGUUGUCGUCAGCUCGUGUCGUGAGAUGUUGGGUUAAGUCCCGCAACGAGCGCAACCCUCGUCCUAUGUUGCCAGCACGU
Molecule: ribosomal RNA, 1105 nt
Filed under: Serinibacter arcticus
Lineage: Bacteria; Bacillati; Actinomycetota; Actinomycetes; Micrococcales; Beutenbergiaceae
Description: bacterial SSU rRNA
Rfam family: Bacterial small subunit ribosomal RNA
Source: RNAcentral